Molecule: ribosomal RNA, 427 nt
Filed under: uncultured bacterium
Lineage: Bacteria
Description: bacterial SSU rRNA
Rfam family: Bacterial small subunit ribosomal RNA
Source: RNAcentral
UGGGGAAUUUUGGACAAUGGGCGAAAGCCUGAUCCAGCAAUGCCGCGUGUGUGAAGAAGGCCUUCGGGUUGUAAAGCACUUUUGUCCGGAAAGAAAUCCUCUGGGUUAAUACCUCGGGGGGAUGACGGUACCGGAAAAAUAAGCACCGGCUAACUACGUGCCAGCAGCCGCGGUAAUACGUAGGGUGCAAGCGUUAAUCGGAAUUACUGGGCGUAAAGCGUGCGCAGGCGGUUUUGUAAGACGGAUGUGAAAUCCCCGGGCUUAACCUGGGAACUGCAUUCGUGACUGCAAGGCUAGAGUAUGGCAGAGGGUGGUAGAAUUCCACGUGUAGCAGUGAAAUGCGUAGAGAUGUGGAGGAAUACCGAUGGCGAAGGCAGCCCCCUGGGCCAAUACUGACGCUCAUGCACGAAAGCGUGGGGAGCAAACA